Molecule: RNA transcript, 1640 nt
Organism: Panicum virgatum (switchgrass)
Lineage: Eukaryota; Viridiplantae; Streptophyta; Magnoliopsida; Poales; Poaceae
Gene name: protein REVEILLE 6-like
Exons: 10
Source: RefSeq, a predicted model, not a curated record
CUCUUGCUCCCACCCACCCACCCAGAGCCUACAGCUGCAGCAGCAGAGCGCCAGCACCGGACCACGUCAACCCUAGCUCCCCGCUUCCCCGUGCCCAUGGUGUCCAUGAGCACAACGCCGCACCCUCUCGAUUCCCCGACGGCACCGGGCAAGGAGGAAGAGGCGCGCCCGAUGCGCCUGCGCCAGGCCGCCGCGCCCAUGGCCCUGCCGCUGGGGGACGACGACGACGAGGGGCCCAGGAGGGUGCGAAAGCCCUACACCAUCACCAAGUCGCGCGAGAGCUGGACCGAACCCGAGCACGACAAGUUCCUCGAGGCGCUGCAGCUGUUUGAUCGUGAUUGGAAAAAGAUUGAAGCUUAUGUUGGCUCCAAGACUGUAAUACAGAUCAGGAGUCAUGCGCAGAAGUACUUUUUGAAGGUUCAAAAGAAUGGAACAGGUGAACAUUUGCCCCCGCCUAGGCCAAAACGUAAGGCUGCCCAUCCAUAUCCACACAAAGCAUCGAAAAAAGCACUUCAAGUUGUCUUACCGCAACAAACAUCUCAUAUAAUGGAGCAAGGCUGUGGUACAUCUAUGGAUACAGCUACUGUUGCUACGGACUUAAGUGCAAAUGAUGCUUUUCCUUCUUGGGAGAAUGAUCCUGUUCAACAUUUAGGUCCGAGGCAUACACAAGGUUCAGGUGCAACAAAUAAUUACUCUAGUAGCAUAGGUAGCCAAUCUGGAACUUGGCCAACUUCUGAAGCUACAGAGCAAGAUAUCAUGCUUCCAGCACUGCGAGCCAUGCCAGACUUUGCUCGUGUAUACAGUUUCCUUGGAAGCAUAUUUGAUCCAGAGACAAAUGGACAUUUGCAAAAGUUGAAGGAAAUGGAUCCUAUUGAUGCUGAAACGGUACUGUUGUUGAUGAAAAAUCUUUCGAUCAACCUAACCAGCCCAAACUUUGAGGAACAUUCAGUGCGCACUCUGGAAAAGCUUCGCUAGAAGUGGUAAAAUGCCUCCUUGCUGGAGGUGCUAAUACAUGAUUAGUGGCGCGCAUAUACUGAAGGAGGUUGCUUUCUUCACAUGGCUCAAACAUGGACCAAGAUACUGGCUCUUCUCACACCAUUCAUCUUCCGUUCAUGAUAACGAGCAAAUGAGAGAAGGUCCCCUCCUGCGAGCACCCAAGGGUUUGGAGUUACUCUGUAGCGUGGAAGCGUGCUGGAUGCUAGCCGCAUGUUAUAGUUUCGCAUGUGUACAUAGCUUUUGGUAAUGCCCUAACCACCUUAGGCUGGUUUUGCUCAUCAUGUAGAUGGCCAGCUAGUUUAUGCGCAUGUGAUUCUUUGCCCCUUCAGUUUUCCCUAUUUUAACCUAUGUGUGAGCCUGCCACCAAGUAUGAGCCAGGUGGUUUGUUAUGGUAUGCUUAUUGUCGAUACCUUUUUCCCCCACAAGGAAGGAUGGAUGGAUGGUAUACAAUGAUAUGUAGUUUUUGCAGUGGUAUGCAAUGGUAUGUGUAUAGGCUAACAAACUGCUGUUGUAAUGCAUAGUUGAGAGUGCAUGAUUCUGCAGCAGUUCAUGUCAAGGACUCCUCCGAAUGAUAUUGUAUUGAAGAAUGGUGGCAGAUGUAACAUAAAUAAAAUUCAGUUGCCCUUGCUGACACAUGGUUGCAA